UCCUAGUUAACCUAGGCAGUCUCACUAAAGUUCCCACCUGUAAGUGUUGGCAAUUAGUGACAAGGGUUGCGCUCGUUGCGGGACUUAACCCAACACCUCACGGCACGAGCUGACGACAGCCAUGCAGCACCUGUGCAGAAGCCCCGAAGGGAAUAUGCAUCUCUGCAUACGUCCUCUGCAUGUCAAGCCUGGGUAAGGUUCUUCGCGUUGCAUCGAAUUAAACCACAUGCUCCACUGCUUGUGCGGGUCCCCGUCAAUUCUUUUGAGUUUCACCCUUGCGAGCGUACUCCCCAGGCGGUAUACUUAUCGCGUUAGCUUCGGCACAACUGGGGUUGAGUCCAGCUACACCUAGUAUACAUCGUUUAGGGCAAGGACUAC
RNAcentral lists this unclassified non-coding RNA (378 nucleotides) under uncultured Chlamydiales bacterium. Its description in RNAcentral is "contains 16S-23S intergenic spacer region". The record is from RNAcentral. Lineage: Bacteria; Pseudomonadati; Chlamydiota; Chlamydiia; Chlamydiales.